This 836-nucleotide ribosomal RNA is filed under the name uncultured bacterium. RNAcentral's name for it is "bacterial SSU rRNA". It matches the Rfam family "Bacterial small subunit ribosomal RNA", at positions 601 to 1438 of the family's 1533-position model. The record is from RNAcentral.
CCCCGGGCUCAACCUGGGAAUUGCGUUNUGAACUGGGUGGCUAGAGUGUGUCAGAGGGGGGUAGAAUUNCACGUGUAGCAGUGAAAUGCGUAGAGAUGUGGAGGAAUACCGAUGGCGAAGGCAGCCCCCUGGGAUGGCACUGACGUUCAUGCCCGAAAGCGUGGGUAGCAAACAGGAUUAGAUACCCUGGUAGUCCACGCCCUAAACGAUGUCGAUUAGCUGUUGGGCAACUUGAUUGCUUGGUAGCGAAGCUAACGCGUGAAAUCGACCGCCUGGGGAGUACGGUCGCAAGAUUAAAACUCAAAGGAAUUGACGGGGACCCGCACAAGCGGUGGAUGAUGUGGAUUAAUUCGAUGCAACGCGAAGAACCUUACCUGGUCUUGACAUGUACGGAACCUUCCGGAGACGGAAGGGUGCCUUCGGGAGCCGUAACACAGGUGCUGCAUGGCUGUCGUCAGCUCGUGUCGUGAGAUGUUGGGUUAAGUCCCGCAACGAGCGCAACCCUUGUCAUUAGUUGCCAUCAUUUGGUUGGGCACUCUAAUGAGACUGCCGGUGACAAGCCGGAGGAAGGUGGGGAUGACGUCAAGUCCUCAUGGCCCUUAUGACCAGGGCUUCACACGUCAUACAAUGGUCGGUACAGAGGGUAGCCAAGCCGCGAGGUGGAGCCAAUCCCAAAAAACCGAUCGUAGUCCGGAUUGCACUCUGCAACUCGAGUGCAUGAAGUCGGAAUCGCUAGUAAUCGCAGGUCAGCAUACUGCGGUGAAUACGUUCCCGGGUCUUGUACACACCGCCCGUCACACCAUGGGAGUGGGGGAUACCAGAAGCAGGUAGGCUAA